AAGCGCUGGCAACCAGACUCGAGCGCGGUGUUCCCCCUGGCUUCUGCUAGGGUUACUUCACCGUGUCCGGGCCAUCAUCAGUUUUGGGGACCGGUCAAAGGCCCCGGGAAUGUAUCGUCUCCUUCGGGGGACGACUUAUAGCCCGGGGUGUCAUGCGGCCUCCCGGGACUGAGGAAC
RNAcentral lists this ribosomal RNA (177 nucleotides) under Trichomeriaceae sp. RNAcentral describes it as "partial large subunit ribosomal RNA". Lineage: Eukaryota; Fungi; Ascomycota; Eurotiomycetes; Chaetothyriales; Trichomeriaceae. The record is from RNAcentral.